UACGGAGGAUGCGAGCGUUAUCCGGAUUUAUUGGGUUUAAAGGGCGUGUAGGCGGGAGCGCAAGUCAGAUGUGAAAACUCAGGGCUCAACCCUGAGCCUGCAUUUGAAACUGUGUUUCUUGAGUGCUGGAGAGGCAAUCGGAAUUCCGUGUGUAGCGGUGAAAUGCGUAGAUAUACGGAGGAACACCAGUGGCGAAGGCGGAUUGCUGGACAGUAACUGACGCUGAGGCGCGAAAGCGUGGGGAGCAAACAGG
RNAcentral lists this ribosomal RNA (253 nucleotides) under uncultured bacterium. RNAcentral's name for it is "partial 16S ribosomal RNA". It matches the Rfam family "Bacterial small subunit ribosomal RNA", at positions 524 to 776 of the family's 1533-position model. The record is from RNAcentral.